RNAcentral lists this ribosomal RNA (520 nucleotides) under uncultured Glomus. RNAcentral describes it as "SSU rRNA". It matches the Rfam family "Eukaryotic small subunit ribosomal RNA", at positions 569 to 1090 of the family's 1831-position model. Lineage: Eukaryota; Fungi; Glomeromycota; Glomeromycetes; Glomerales; Glomeraceae. The record is from RNAcentral.
AGCAGCCGCGGUAAUUCCAGCUCCAAUAGCGUAUAUUAAAGUUGUUGCAGUUAAAAAGCUCGUAGUUGAAUUUCGGGGUCAGUAGGUUGGUCGUGCCACCGGUACGUACUGGUCUCACUGAUUCCUCCUCCCUGAGGAACCGUAAUGCCAUUAAUUUGGUGUUGCGGGGAAACAGGACUGUUACUUUGAAAAAAUUAGAGUGUUUAAAGCAGGCUAACGCUUGAAUACAUUAGCAUGGAAUAAUGAAAUAGGACGAUCGAUCCUAUUUUGUUGGUUUCUAGGAUUGACGUAAUGAUUAAUAGGGAUAGUUGGGGGCAUUAGUAUUCAAUUGUCAGAGGUGAAAUUCUUGGAUUUAUUGAAGACUAACUACUGCGAAAGCAUUUGCCAAGGAUGUUUUCAUUAAUCAAGAACGAAAGUUAGGGGAUCGAAGACGAUCAGAUACCGUCGUAGUCUUAACCAUAAACUAUGCCGACUAGGGAUCGGAUGAUGUUAAUUUUAUAAUGACUCAUUCGGCGCCUUA